GGAGAGGUGGCAGAGUGGUUGAAUGCGCCUGACUCGAAAUCAGGUUUGGGGCAACCCAACGGGGGUUCGAAUCCCCCCCUCUCCG
Molecule: transfer RNA, 85 nt
Filed under: Leptothermofonsia sichuanensis E412
Lineage: Bacteria; Bacillati; Cyanobacteriota; Cyanophyceae; Leptolyngbyales; Leptolyngbyaceae
Also listed under: 1 other name
Description: tRNA-Ser
Rfam family: tRNA
About the family: Transfer RNA (tRNA) molecules are approximately 80 nucleotides in length.
Source: RNAcentral